RNAcentral lists this transfer RNA (83 nucleotides) under Candidatus Purcelliella pentastirinorum. Its description in RNAcentral is "tRNA-Leu". It matches the Rfam family "tRNA". Rfam says of the family: Transfer RNA (tRNA) molecules are approximately 80 nucleotides in length. Their secondary structure includes four short double-helical elements and three loops (D, anti-codon, and T loops). The record is from RNAcentral. Lineage: Bacteria; Pseudomonadati; Pseudomonadota; Gammaproteobacteria; Enterobacterales; Enterobacteriaceae.
ACCGAGGUGGUGAAAUUGGAAAACACGCUACUUUGAGAUGGUAGUACCUGUAGGGUUUACGGGUUCAAGUCCCGUCCUCGGUA